GCUUAUCUCUGGAUGACUGCAGCUU
RNAcentral lists this non-coding RNA (25 nucleotides) under Rattus norvegicus (Norway rat). Lineage: Eukaryota; Metazoa; Chordata; Mammalia; Rodentia; Muridae. The record is from RNAcentral.